UAGGGAAUCUUCGGCAAUGGACGAAAGUCUGACCGAGCAACGCCGCGUGAGUGAAGAAGGUUUUCGGAUCGUAAAACUCUGUUGUUAGAGAAGAACAAGGACGUUAGUAACUGAACGUCCUCUGACGGUAUCUAACCAGAAAGCCACGGCUAACUACGUGCCAGCAGCCGCGGUAAUACGUAGGUGGCAAGCGUUGUCCGGACUUAUUGGGCGUAAAGCGAGCGCAGGCGGUUUCUUAAGUCUGAUGUGAAAGCCCCCGGCUCAACCGGGGAGGGUCAUUGGAAACUGGGAGACUUGAGUGCAGAAGAGGAGAGUGGAAUUCCAUGUGUAGCGGUUAAAUGCGUAGAUAUAUGGAGGAACACCAGUGGCGAAGGCGGCUCUCUGGUCUGUAACUGACGCUGAGGCUCGAAAGCGUGGGGAGCAAACAGG
Molecule: ribosomal RNA, 429 nt
Filed under: Gemmatimonadota bacterium
Lineage: Bacteria; Pseudomonadati; Gemmatimonadota
Description: Gemmatimonadetes bacterium partial 16S ribosomal RNA
Rfam family: Bacterial small subunit ribosomal RNA
Source: RNAcentral